RNAcentral lists this ribosomal RNA (450 nucleotides) under uncultured bacterium. Its description in RNAcentral is "bacterial SSU rRNA". It matches the Rfam family "Bacterial small subunit ribosomal RNA", at positions 355 to 796 of the family's 1533-position model. The record is from RNAcentral.
UAGGGAAUAUUGCGCAAUGGAGGAAACUCUGACGCAGCGACGCCGCGUGGGUGAUGAAGGCCUUCGGGUCGUAAAGCCCUGUCGGAAGGGAAGAAAAAUAUUGUGGCUAACAUCCACAGUACUUGACGGUACCUUCAGAGGAAGCACCGGCUAACUACGUGCCAGCAGCCGCGGUAAUACGUAGGGUGCUAGCGUUGUUCGGAAUUAUUGGGCGUAAAGCGCGUGUAGGUGGUUAAGUAAGUCGGGUGUGAAAUCCCUGGGCUCAACCGAGGAAGUGCAUUCGAAACUGCUUAGCUAGAGGACGGUAGAGGAAGGUGGAAUUCCAAGUGUAGAGGUGAAAUUCGUAGAUAUUUGGAGGAAUACCGGUGGCGAAGGCGGCCUUCUGGGCCGGUUCUGACACUGAGACGCGAAAGCGUGGGUAGCAAACAGGAUUAGAUACCCCCGUAGUCC